Long non-coding RNA from Passer domesticus (house sparrow), 850 nucleotides. RefSeq lists it as uncharacterized. Lineage: Eukaryota; Metazoa; Chordata; Aves; Passeriformes; Passeridae. The record is from RefSeq and is a predicted model, not a curated record. The transcript has 5 exons.
UGAGUGACACUGAGUGACGGUGACAGGAAGCCACCCCCCAAUAAAGCUGUAAAGUGACACUGAGUGACACCAAGUGACACUGAGUGACACCCCGGUGACAGUGACGAGGCCACCCCGCAGUAAAGCUGUCGGGUGACACCGCGCUGGCUCGUCGCUGCUCUUGGGGACAUCGCGAAGCCACCGCCCCCCCCCCAGCCUGGGGACAGCGGGAUUGUCCCCAGAGGUGUCCCCUGGGAGGGGACAGUGACAGGCCACACGCGGGAGGGGGAUGGCAUUUAUUGUCACCUGCGGGGACGGGGAGGGGUGGCACUGGGCAGGGGACACGUGGGGUGACACCGCGGUGUCACCAGGGGUGGCUGUGGGUGACGGGGGCAGCGCUGCAGGGGACACUGCCACUGGGGAGGGGACACUGCCACCGGGGAGGUGACACUGUCUGGAUGUGACACUGCCACCGGGGAGGUGACACUGCCACUGGGGAGGACACACUGCCACCGCAGAGGUGACAUUGUCUGGAUGUGACACUGCCACCGGGGAGGGGACACUGCCACUGGGGAGGGGACACUGCCACCGGGGAGGGGACACUGCCACCGGGGAGGUGACAUUGUCUGGAUGUGACACUGCCACCGGGGAGGGGACACUGCCACUGGGGAGGGGACACCAGGGAUGGCACCUGGAGGUGACACUGCCACCAGAGAGGGGACACUGCCACGGGGGAGGGGACACUGCCUGGAUGUGACACUGGCACCAGGGAGGUGACACUGCCACCAGAGGUGACACUGCCACUGGGGAGGUGACACUGCCACCCUGAAAGUAACACUGCCACCAGGGAGGGUGACACCGGGGAUGGCAC